CCAUACAAUGCCUUCAAAGAGUUCAAGGAAGCAGAAGAAGGCAUCGAUUACUUUUUACAAGACUUUGAGCGCCAGUGCCUAGAGUAGCUGUUGACAUUAUAGUUGCGCAGGCACUUUGAGAACCUCUAGAGAACCUCAGGCCAAUUGCACGUCCCCUUGACGGAGACGACGCAUUCGGAUGUCUGCCCUAUCAACUUUCAAUGGACUUUCUGCGCCUACCAUUGUGACCACGGGUAACGGGGAAUCAGGGUUCAAUUCCAGAGAGGGUGCCUGAGAAACGGCUACCACAUCCAAGGAAGGCAGCAGG
Pelobates cultripes (western spadefoot toad) is the source of this 307-nucleotide non-coding RNA. NCBI's taxonomy places the organism in Eukaryota, Metazoa, Chordata, Amphibia, Anura, Pelobatidae. The record is from the annotation of a GenBank genome assembly.